RNAcentral lists this transfer RNA (85 nucleotides) under Opitutia bacterium. RNAcentral describes it as "Opitutae bacterium tRNA-Leu". It matches the Rfam family "tRNA". Rfam says of the family: Transfer RNA (tRNA) molecules are approximately 80 nucleotides in length. The record is from RNAcentral. Lineage: Bacteria; Pseudomonadati; Verrucomicrobiota; Opitutia. RNAcentral also lists the same sequence under 1 other name.
GCCCGGGUGGCGGAAUUGGUAGACGCGCCAGAUUUAGGAUCUGGUGUCGAAAGGCGUGGGGGUUCGAGUCCCCCCCCGGGCACCA